Molecule: ribosomal RNA, 116 nt
Filed under: Marinobacter sp. R17
Lineage: Bacteria; Pseudomonadati; Pseudomonadota; Gammaproteobacteria; Pseudomonadales; Marinobacteraceae
Source: RNAcentral
CCUGACGACUAUAGCGGUUCGGAACCACCUGAUCCCAUCCCGAACUCAGUAGUGAAACGAACCAGCGCCGAUGGUAGUGUGGCAUCUGCCCAUGCGAGAGUAGGUCAUCGUCAGGC